UAAACAUCGUUUCGGGGCAUGCGGAGAAUGCUUUUCAUUUCGUGGCCUAGUCAAAAAGGUUCCAAACUUUAAUUUGCCUAGCAUUUCGCACCUAAUAAUAACAUAACUACUGUAGCUGCAAACGUGAAACGACCCUACAAAAAAAAAAGGACACAGCUAAUUCAAUAUCAUGGAUUGUAAGGACAGUGCCAGCCUGUCUCUUCCCUACCAACCUGAUCCUGAACCUACGGUCACACUGGGUCCUGACUGUAACAGUGGAGCUCAAUGCACAUUGCCUCCUCUUGCACUGCUGCUGGAAGACUGCAUUAACCUGCUGGGGCCAAAUGCAGAGUCUAUGAAACUCGAGGAGGAUUGUGAGGACAGUCCAAGCCUGUCUCUUCCCUACCAACCUGAUCCCAAUUCUUCCCUCAAGAGGGUGACCGUACUGCUGAAGGACUGCAGGAAAUCACUGAGUCCUGGUUGUAACAGUGGAGCUCAGAGGAUACUGCUGCCUCUCAAGAGAGUUCGAGUACAGCUGGAGGACUGCAGGAAGAAGCUGGGGCCAAAUGCACAAUCUAUACAAAUUGAAGUUGUUGAUAGCAGAGGUUCAACUCAUCCAGGUAAUUGAUCAAAUUUAGUAAACCUAUAAGCAUUUACUAAUAAUACUUUCCUCUAAUCGGCACAUAAGACGUGUCUUCCUGUGUUUCUAGACUGACUUGUUGACACUUAUGUUGGUUUGUUUUGUUGGAAAGUCAAUUUUUUUGAUUUAGACUUCCGCAUGAACUUUGAUCUCAGAUUUUAUGUGGCCUAGAGGGUGACAUUUUCCUCACAAAACAGCACUGAACUGUGGAAAACCACAUCACAAUACUCUGCAGUGUGGUAAAGUUAGUAAUCCAUUUUUAAAAUUCAAGCUCUAGUUGCAGUAUUAAAAUACUGCCUUAUGUACUGUCUUGACUCAUGUCAAAAUGCUUUUUAUACAUGGGACAAAUGUCACCAUGGUCCUUUCUAAUUAUUUAAAAUGUUGUUCAAUGCUUAUCUUGUCUGGCUUGUCAUUACUGUGAUCUUGUUUGAAAUGAUUUAACUGAUAACUAGGUUUAGUUAAUGAUAGUGAAUGUGUUUUUGGAUAAACCGACAGACCUAUGUGUUUAAUUUAGAUGUAAAAUAAAAGAUUUCCACGAAAGUGUAAAACUCUUUUCCUCA
Long non-coding RNA from Salvelinus namaycush (lake trout), 1179 nucleotides. RefSeq lists it as uncharacterized. Lineage: Eukaryota; Metazoa; Chordata; Actinopteri; Salmoniformes; Salmonidae. The transcript has 3 exons. The record is from RefSeq and is a predicted model, not a curated record.